Non-coding RNA from Zonotrichia albicollis (white-throated sparrow), 14510 nucleotides. NCBI's taxonomy places the organism in Eukaryota, Metazoa, Chordata, Aves, Passeriformes, Passerellidae. The record is from RefSeq and is a predicted model, not a curated record.
UCAGUGCUUACAGUUACAACAACAUGAUGUUUUCCCAAAAGGAUUUAUACCACUUCCUGCAAGUUUGGUAUCCUUAAUCCUGCUGUUUUUACAUUGCCUUUUAUCAGUCAGCUUAUGGCAGAGUUUGGCGUGUAUAAACUCAGAGAGCAAAUGCUGAGACAGAAUCUGAUUUCCACCCAUAAAUGUAUUGAAGGUUGGAAAGGAAAAGAAAUAGAGAGGAACAAGAGCUGAUGAAGAUUCAGGACUACAUUGUCACCUGGACAAGAGAUAAAAUCUGGUCAUAAGCAAAUUCAGCCAGGAAUUCUGAAGAAGGAUUUUAACUCUCCAAGUUGCAUAGCUGGAGAAUGGCUGUGCCGUAGAAAAAGAAGGCUCAGAAAACUUAAUUGGUUUUACAGUUUCAUCAAACUGAAACUCAAUUAAUAUUUUAAAGGAAUUUCAUGGCAUUGCUCUCUGAAAUAAUUGAGAAUUGGAUUAAGUGAUCCAGAACAUUGCUUCUAAUUCUAUUUUACUAAAAUACAGCUGUAAAUAAUAUGCCCAGAAAACAUGAAAGGCAACAAAUUCUCUGAAAAAAAGCAUAAUAGGCAAAAGAGAAAAUAGGUACAAAGGGCAGUGUCACAGCUCCAGGAGAAAGAAGAAUCUGAACUGGAAAGCAAAAGAUACAUAGGGAAGGGAGAAAGCACUAGGCAACACAUUAAAGUCAUCUAGUAAAAAAUACAAAACCACAAUGACAUUGUUUGUGUCAGAAACACUGUGAUUUAGUGUCCUUAUAAAUAUUAUAGGCAAUAUGAGCAGUACACAAAGGGCUCUCACAGAUGACCCUGGCCUGGGAGGACUUGAAAGGUGAGUCAGAAUAUGGAAAUUACACAGAGUGACCUACUGAGUCUGGGGACAUUACAUGAGAAAAUAACAACAUGAGAUUUCACUUGUAAGCAUGAAAACAUACCUGAGGCAAAAUCCUCCAAAACACUUGUAGUCAAUGGCAAACUGCUAGCAGGAAUACUGAAACACUUUGCUAUGAGAGUGGGCGGCCAAUUGAACAUAAGUGCACAUUACAGUUUGGCUGCAAAAAUGCCGAUGCAAUUUUAGGGUGAAGUUCCCUUGAUAUUUGAAUCAAAGGCAAUAGAGAUCUAUUUUCUACAUAAUUUUAAUGCAAAUGCAUCUGGAAUAACACACCCAGUUGGGGGAGUUGCUGUGUGUGGACAAAUUGGUAAAAGGAGAGAAAACAAUAAAAAAUACCAGGAUUCGAGACAGAUAGCCUUACAAAGAAGAUUUAAAAGCUCUGUGUGUAUGAACAAUAAAGGUCCUUUCAGCCCUGUUUUUCUGUGACUCCAUUCUAAGCAGGUAUAGAUUCAGAAGACAGGAGUGCCAAAGGGGAGGUAAUACUUUGGACUACUACAUAAAAUCAGAAGUGCCAAAUGGGGGGAAACUAGCAACAUGAAACCAUAGGCUGAGUAGCAGGAAAAUCUUUCAAGAGGUACUCAGCUGUAGAAAAGCUGCUGGGGGACCUGGUGGAAGCCUGGUCACUCAGGAUUUUUACAAGGCUGGACAAAACAUUAGAAAAUGUACCAUAGGGAGCAAUUCUCUGCUGGCCAAGAGCAGUGGAGCAGAUGAUCUAAUAGGCUUCUUCAUCUCUAACCUCUACAGUUGUAUGAUUUCUUACUGUAAAGCACAAUAUUUCAAGAGGAAAAAGAAAUAAAUACAAGGUAAAAUAUUGGAUGGUAAAAAUCCCCAACAAACAAAUACAAAACAGAUGGAGAAUGAAUCAAGUUCUGUCCUUUUGCCUUUCUGUAUUUAAAGGAGUUUGCUUCUGGCACAUUGUUUCCUUGUCAGAGGCACUUCAUUUUCUUUCGUCUCUUACCAUUUUCUCUCUCACUACAAAAGCAGAAAUAGCCACUUGGGACUGCUGAUGUCUUUCUAAGGAAGGAUGCUGCUCUCAUGCAGUAGAACAGCAUCAAGGCUUUGGUCAGUCAAAACAUAAAAAUCUCAUUGUUUUCUUUGAAAACAGAUUUCUUUUUAAAUCAAGGCCCAAUCAAUUACAUGCAUCAUGGUAUAUUCCCCAGCAUGGCAGUCCUUCUCAUCUUCUGCAUUUUCUGCCUCCCCCCUUCCAGUACAUACUCUCAUUUUACAGCCUUCUCUACCCAUUGCUUUUGUGGAAGCUGAGCUUUCACAAGUCCAUACUAUCUUUAGGGAGAAUUAUGUGUGAACAGCACAUCCAAAAAAAAACAAAAACAGGGGCAGUAGUUCAGGUUGUUCAGUGUGUAUUCAUUUGUCCCAUUCAUCAUUAGUCGGGAUUGUGAGACCUCUGGUGACUUUGAAAUUUUGAUCAGCAUGCCUGUCCUGAUGACAGGCAAAUGCACUUUCAAAGGGAAUAAUAAGCUGAUUUUCAGAAGUCAUGACAGCUUUCACAUACAAACAUGUCAGCUAGAUAGACAUGUAACACAAGACUAUGCACCUCGGCUGUUACCUCUGUAUGCCCUGGGGCACCUUCACAGCACGUGGUCCCCCUCAAACACCAGGGUACAAUCCACAUGAGAUCAACAGGGUUACUGAAAACUUGAGGCAUUGUUUCAAAAUGCUGUUUGAGCAGGGGUUUCUUUGCUGAGGUUUGUUUGUUGGGAGUUUUUGUAGAGAAGGAGCAUAGUAAAUAUAAGAGGGCCAUUUGUAAUUGUGUGUGUCAGAAAGUUUCCCAAAGCAAGAGCUUCAGCAACACUUCCUAAAGACAGAUGCAUAAUACUACUUCCUCAAAACCUACUUUCAGAUGGCAGUAAUAAUCUAACUGUGAUUUUGGUCAUGACAACACCUUUAAAUUGGGUGGGGUUUUCAUACAGGGAAAAACUCUUUCUAUUUCUUGUGCAAAUCACACAUUCUGUAUGCAGACUACAAGUACUUUAUCUGUCAACAAACUGCAGCCAGAUUCAGAUGAAUAGCUGUGAUUUACCGCAGACCAAGGCUGCACUUGCACCAUGAGAAGAGAGCUAUUCAGCCUGAAUCAGACUGAAUCCAGGAUCUUGGAGAUUCUGCCUUAAAUUGCCAUGCACAUGCUGGGAUAGUUAGCCUGUCAGGACCAGGCAUUUCCUAGGGCAAUGUCCUCCAGCACAUGGUUAGCUUUCAGAAGGUAAACAAACCCAGCAGAGAUGCUGAUGAGUAGCAAGUGGUCUGAAGGUGCUUUGCAUCCCAGCUUCCUUCUUCUUCCCUUUGUCAUGAGUCAGUCCUUCCCAACCUACUUCAGUCCUUUAACAUUUUGACUUCUGGAGUUGGUGCCAGCCCCACUGCAGCUCAGAAUAUGCCGGGGGAAAAAAUAGAAUUAAAAUCAAUCAAAAGUCUGAAGUAGCCUUAACACAGGUUGUGGAAGAGUAGAGCCUUUCUAAAGGCAAGCUUGUGGUCAGAGUAUACUUGCCUGGAGUAUCUGAGGGAAGGGGAUCUGGCUGAAGGGGCUGUCUUACAAGACAUGGGGGAAAAGAGAUUCCUGUUUGCCUUAUAAAACUACUGACAGCACAUACAGAUUUGUCACGGUUUGUGAUAUUAAUGAUAGCGAUGGGAUGUGGGACUUUCAGAUUUUACAUCUCAGAUUCAUAUUGCUGACAGCUCACUGCUCAUCGGUUCCAGUUUGGGGCAUCUUCUCAUCUAUUUUUAGCUACCUAAAGAUCUGGCAUAUGGUCUGAGCUUGUCAUUUCCCUUCCUUUUAGAAUCAGUGGAGAGGGCCAUGACUCGGUGAGCUGUCCUAUCCUGUCCUGCAGGACUGUGAGCUUGAAUGGGGAUAUCAAACUGGAGACAGCAGCGCUCACUGAUCUACAAGCAAAGGUGGUUGAAACAGACUGAGAAAAGGGCUUUGCUUACACAAUUAGGAAAUCUGGUUUUGUGCUCAGCUAAAGCACUGUAUAUCAGCGAGAGAAGAUAUGAACCAUGUCUUCACACUCAGGCCCAAUGCCUUUAGAAAUUACAAUAGGCUCUCUGAUAUUUGUAUUUGGCAUGUCAGUGCAUGAACACCCUUGCUUACACAGGAUAAUCAUGGGGACAUAAAAAAAAAUACAAGCCAGCAAGACGGAAACACUUGCAAACAUCUCUUCAGACAAAAUAGAAAAGUCAGAGUACUGAGCUCUGCCUGACUUUUAAAACCCUCAUUUCCUCACUCCUGACAGGUGUGAUCAGGACACCAUCCUGUUUGGGGACUGUUUUCUAAAGGAAACACAUGCAGUAAAUGAACCUUGAUUUAAAGUUAGAGAAUGACAUGAGUCCAAACCAUCUGGCUUGUGAUCCAGCUUCAGCCUCCCUCUUUACAAAACUAAGGUUCAGCCUUUUUGUGUUGCUUUGAGGACUGCCCUUUGCUCCUCUUCAGGCUAUGUGGUCCUUGUGUUCAUACAGCCCCUGGGGGAAAAAAAAAUUAAACCAAAGCAAAACAGCCCAAAAUUCAUCCAAGGGUUAAAAGGAAUAGGUUGGUGGCUCGUUACGCCACGCCGAGUGCCCAUUACUUUUGUUGACUUCAAGGCCGUAGUCACUCACAGAGAACGGGCCUAUAAUAUUUACAUUGGGAUUUCAAGGAAGACUGCUCCUAUAAAUUAGUAAAAGGCAUGAGUCAUCCCAGCACAGUGUUGGAUCCAAGAGAUGCAGUUAUCAGCCCAGCAUAACACUCUAGCAUCUGUCCAAAACACUGCACACCCUCAUUAGCACGCUAUUCCUGGGAGCUAAGCAGGCUGAAGGUUGCAAAGAGGUGCUAUUGUUAUACCAGGAGUAAGUCUUAUGUUUUAUUGAUACCCAAUAAACUGUGUGUUAGCCUGAAAGCACAGAGAAAGAGAGAGAAGGAGCAGAGGGCUGGAGUAGUCUGUUAUAUAACACUCAAACACAGGGAGUGGAACUGGACAAAUCCUUUUCAAUUACUUUUUUUCAAUAAAUGUCAGGUUUGGGGAGGAGGACCAUCUGAGCAAAUUAAUAAUUAAUAAGAAUACAUUCAUCCUGCUGUACAGCUGGACACAUCACCUGUGAAUAAAUCCCCCAGAUAAUAUAUUUGUGGAUCUUUAUAAUAUUUUUUCAUUCUGCUUUUUUCACCUUUUUUUUGGUGUCAGUCAAGUCCCAGUUGUCCUAGGAUUUUCCUGGAAAUCAACUAGCAAGAUAACCACUUGAGGGAAAGGGAACAAGCGUGUGGACCUCAGGCACUUGGCUGUUCAGGAGCAGAAGUGAUGUUUGCAAUGAUUAGGGCUCCUGGCAAUGCAGGGAACCUGGCUGGUGAGCUGCACAGAUUAGGUGAUGUGACAGGACUCUGGAAAAGAUAGACAAAUAUGGGUGCUGUGCACAAGCUGGGAAUUACUGUGGGUGUCAAUUAACCUUGCAGAUCACAGGGUUUAUUAGGCUGAAUUAUUUAUCCUGAAGAUAAAGCACUGAAAGAAAGUAAGGCAUCAUUAAACAGCACAGCCUUGCACAGAGUUUAGGCAGUGAACCAAGUUUCCGAACAAUUUAAUUUAUUAGGGACCUAAAUUGUGCUAGAUUAUCAAAUCAAGUGGAAUAGAGGGAGGCAAUGCAUUUUAUGUUCAGUGUUCAGAAUGUAAUAAGUGUGUUAUUCCAUUCAUGCCAUCUCUCAGCCUGAGUUAUGAAGAGAAAGGGAUAUUUCCUCUGUAGGGUAAUUUUCCAUUUUAUAUCCAUUUUUAAAAACUGUCAAACUGUUGUCAUGAAGGAAAAACAUUUCUAGUUUAUCACUGAAGCUUGAAACCUGUUAAAUGUUAAUGUAAAAUGGAGCACUACAUAUAGUCCCAAUACAAUGGGAAGAAGCUUAACUGUUUGAAGUCUGUCUUUGUGAAGAUUAUACCCUGGCAGAAAAAGACAAUAGGAGAGUUUUGCCUUGGGAAAAGGGAGAUUGACAGGUCUGCAUGUUUUUCUGCAAUCAAUAUUGUAGACAGAGCUCUUCUUACAUGGUGGGGUUCAAUUAAAGAAAAAAACACUAGAAUUUGGGGGAAUUCCCUAAAGAGUUCAAAUCCUUUCUGAGAGGAGGGAAUGUUUUUUUCAAGAUGAGCUUGCAUGAAAAAUUCAUGCAGUGGAUGGAUACAUUCAUACAAGAAGAAAUUUGAUAAAUAAAUAAUUGUUUUAAUACUGAGUCACAUAACAGUUGCUUAUCCAUAUUGACCACUUCAGUUGCAAAACCAGUCCUUAGUGUAAACAUGUGUAAAAUUAAAUCAUCCAGAAAAACAAAAUAAGGCAAAAGGUCGUACAUGUUAACUGAAGCAAGUAGUUCAUACUAAAGUCUCUCACAACAUCCAAGAAAUAAGAAACUGCCAUAUGCAGACAAGAAACCAGUACAGGGAUGAACACAAAGAGCAGACAAAACACAGCAUGAAAGCGGGUGAUAAGCAGAGAUUUGCAGCCAUCAGGAAGGAGAGAAGAGGAGGCAGCUGCAAAGACAGGAGGCCGGAAAAGAUAGACGAAUUGAGCUGGAAAUAUAUACAGUUACGAUAGCAGCUAUGAAAGCAAUGACAUGAAACUGCAAUUAGCUAGCUGUACUCGACUGCUAUUCAGCCAUACUUGCAGCCCUCUCCUCAUUUUCCCCUGUAUUGACUGCAUGAGAGUCAGUUAUCUUUGCUGGAAAAGAGUUAUGUAUAGAACACCUGGGAUGGGCAAAAAAAGCGCCAGCCUGGUCUAAGGUCUCUGCAUCUCCAGGCCAUGGAGAAAUUCAAGAGGAGGAGCUCGGGGAGAGCUCAUCAACAAGCACAGCCUGCAUUUCUACUGCACUCCUUCCCCACCAGGAAAGCAAAAUCAAAGAGGGAAAACUGCGAUGCUUUUUCUUCUAGUAAUUUCUGUGUCUUUGGCACCUGUCAGUUCCUCUCCCUCACCUUUUUUCCAUCUUUGCAUGGUUGUUUUAUGUGUUGUCUCAUAUAGUUUUCUGUCCUCAGCCAGUUCUUCCCUGAGAUAUCCACAGCUCAAUGAGCAAUCCUGUAAACCUCUUUCCCUUCCUUUUUUGCACCUUUCUCCACCUGCCUUCUCCCCUACCCACACCCCUUGCUACAAGAAACCCUCUUUUGUGUUUCUUUCACAAUCUCUCUCUGCACAGUCAUAUUCUUUGGCUAUGUGAUUCUCUCUGCACCAAGGGAAGCCCUCAGAUGUAAGACUGAAAUGGCCUUUUCUUCAGUCACAGGGGGACUUCAACUUAUCAGAUGUAUGCUGGAAAUAUGAAACAGCACAAAGGAAGCAGCCUAGAAGGUUCCUGCCACAACUGGUGAGUGUGGCAACUAGGGAAGGAAAUCAUGAAAUGGCAGAGAUUGUUGGAGAAAUAAGGAGGACCAGCAGAACUGCUAGCUGGGACUUCCAGGGGACAGACAUUGGCCUGUUCAGGAGCCUGGCUGAGAGAGUCCCUUGAGAGGCAAUACUAAGGGACAGAGGAGUCUAGGAGAGCAGGACAUUCUUCAAGAAGGAAAUCUUAGAGGUGCAGAAGCAGACCACUCCCAUGGGCCAAAAGACAAGCUGGUGGGGAAGACCAGCCUGGCUGAACAGAGAUCUUUGGCUGAAAUUAAAGAAAAUUACCUUUGGAACAAAAGGGCAACAACUUAGGAGGACUACAAGGAUAUAGCAUGAGGUUGUGCAGGGACAAAAAAAAGGGGGCCAAAACCCAAUUAUAAUUUAGGGCUAUGGUUUACUGGAAGACUUGGGGGUGCUGGGUUAAUGGUUGGGCUCAGUGAUCUUAAAUGUCUUUUCCAACCUGAAUGAUUCCAUGAUUUAUCACCUUUUCCCUUCUCUGAAAGGGACUCCCAAAGACUUGCUCUGAGCAUUUUUCUUGAACUGCUCCUCAGUGACAAUGAGCUUGGCUUCCUAAGCAGACCAAAUAAAUGAGAAGAAAAGUCAUGCCUUCCAUCCUUCCCCCGUAACAGUAAUUACCUUAGGAAAAGAAAAUUUUUCCCAUUUUUUUAGAAAGGAAGAGAUAAUGAACUCUCCCUCAGCCUAUGGUACUACAAUAGCCCAUGCUCUGCUUUGACUCAUGACUGGGUUAGUCAACUUCAAGUAAGAGAAGAGUACUAUGUAGUAAAAAAUACUAAUUUUUAAAGAAUUAACUAAAAACUAGAGGCUGGUGGUUUUUCUUAGUUAUAGGAUACAUCCAAACUGCAUUGCUUAGUCACAAACUGUGUCCCUUACUACAUUACAUUACAUGUUUCAACAAAAAAGAGCCCCUCUGUGAGGGAGGCUGGUGAGCAGACCUACUUGUCCAUUACAAUGGUGAGGACAGGUUUUGGCAAAUAGUGCUUGGACAGACAGCUAGGUUUAUGCAAAAUAACCUGAAUCUCUGAUUUAUAAAUCUGUAAAAUCCAUCCUUGCAGUAAAAGGAGAAAACUCAUGUGCCUGUGCAUUUUAAGGUCUUGUCCAAAAGACCCUACUACAGAAAAGUCAUUUAAUCUACCUUAGAGGGAUGAAGGGCUGAGUCAACCCUGCUAGGAUUUGAACCUAUCACUCCAGGGAGCCUAAUUAUUGCAAAUGUGCCAUUUAAACCACUAAACCCUUCCCUCCUGCUCUAAUCACUUCUCAAAGAGUCCGUUUUGAUCCCCAAAGUUUACACAGCACCUGUGAUAAAGGCAAAGUAUUUAACAAAGUCUCUUUAAGCUGAGUAUAUCAUUAUUCAUAUUACAGCAGGUUUAAAAGAGCUGGGCAAGGAUGAGAACAUUGUGCUGCAACAAAGAUCACAGUGGCAGCAUCACGAAUUGCUUCUCAGCUCCACUCUCACUUUUCUUUCUACUGCACAAUAGAAAAACAGAGAGAGGAGAGCUGAAACAAACUGUGUGUGCUCCCUCCGUGCUGCACCCCUAACCACAGGUUUACUUGAAAGAGGUUUCAUGUCAUGUGUCUUGGCCACAGGCUGGUGCAUGGCUGGAGGGUGACACCUGAGUGCGCCUUGUUCCCCUCUGUACCCACGGCAAGUGUCACCAGGAGCCAUGCACUUGGGAAUGUUCAUGUUCCUGACAGGGGCAUGACAGGCGCUCCAGGGCUGCAGGAGCAUGGGAGCCUCGGUGUGUGGGCAUUGGGAGGGCAUUGGUGCUGUGGGGUAGCAGGUGAUAAAAUAUCCGUAACAGGAAAUGCUAACGACAGGUCCUUGAGGUUUUUGCUUUUCUCAGGAUGUUGGUAGUAUUUCUGCACAGUUUAGAAGGCAGAAGUGGAAGCUGAAGAGACUCUUUUGACAAGGCCCCUUGUUGGAGUUGGAAGGAAAAGCAGGGCUGAAGAAUAAAAGGAAGACUUUUUUUUUUUUCCAAUUCUGAGCUUAAAAAAAGCCAUAUUCCAUGUUCUUCCUCAGAGAUAACAUUGCAGCAAAUAAUUUUGCCUUUUAUUCCCUAGGAGAAAAGGGAAUUUUUGUCCACCCUUCCUCCUUCCAUUACCUGGAGGGGAUGCAUUUUUUUCUACUGACAUGCAGAGAGACUAAAUCUAAAAUGCUAAUGGACUGGCAGUGUUUGCAGUGGGGUGAACAGUUUUCUACUGGAAGGCUGGUUGGCAGGAUACCGUCCUGCAGUCAUUGAAUCAUUGCACUGAAUCACAGCCAUGUUGGCAGGAUCCCAUUCUGAGGAAGUUCACAGUACUGUCAAACACCUGCUGUUGCCAUUGAAUGAUAUUAUGCAAGAUCUGAAAUUCUAUUUAUCGAAAUGCCUAUUUGAUUUUUUCCCCCCUCCUUUUCAGUCACUAGUCUCAAAUGACUGCAGCAAAACCUAUUCCCAAGAGCAUUUUAAUUGAGCCUGAUGCCAGGAUACCAGUUCUCACAGGGUGAAAAUCUGCUCUUCUUUGUGCUGAUGCAGAGAUUCCAAGGUAGCACAGGAUAUAAAGACACAGCAUCAUUCCUACAGCAUGUACUCUGCAGUUACUCAGGUAAGAAGAUCAAACAGACUGACUCACAGAAGCCAACAACCUUUUAUUUCCCUUGAAAGCCCUAGUUGUACAGCCUGGUGGGAGAGUCCACUGCUAUAAAUAGGUUUUAUCUCCUAGUCUUCUUAAAGAUAGUGGUUGUUUCAAGUUUGAGUCACCAUUAUGAGAAGCUUGGCUUACACACAACUAGGAAGUGAACAAUGCCAGGUUAUGAGAGCUAGAGAGCAAGUAUGCUCUUCUUUCUCUUAGCUCAUAAGAUACAGUAAUUUAAAGUGGUAUUUCACUGGCAUAACCCAUGCCUUCUGUCCUGCUAUACAUCCCAUUUCACCUUGAUGUUUUGGGGACCUUCCUCAAAAGCAGUAGCUCCACUCUGUCUCUGACUUGACUCCCAGCCCAGCUGGAAUCAAGCACCUCUGGCACAUUCCUGCCCCAGGGCAGCCCCAGCCAUCCCAACUCUCUAUGCAGCCACCUGCAUCAUGACCAAAUCUUCUCCUUAUUUUUAUUUCUAUGGACCUGACAUUCUCUUUCCUGCAAUCCUCUAAUUUUGUCUGUUUUACAAACACACUCCCUGACUGACUUUCCUCAACCAGGAAAUCUGCUCUCUGCACAAAAAAGGUCUCUUGCCCAAACUAAAAUAUCUACCUGGUUGGCAAUUCAUGAGGGGAUGCCAGCAAGUUAUGCCAGGCUGCAGCAGAGCUCUUCCUGUCAAAGCCCAGUCUUUCCUGCUGGUUCUUUCUUAAGCAAUUGGAUAACACUGUUACCUUGCAUCAAACUCACAGUCUGUGUGUGAGCCUCUCACACCCAUCCCCUAGCUUAAAUUUCACCUUUUUAAAGUAAAAAUAAAAUCGAACUUCCUUAUCCAGUUACACAAUAAAAGCCUCAACCAGGAGCUCAUUAACUGGGGUUUAGUUCUUGCUGCAUCCUUCACUUGAGCACUAACACAAUCUUGCCUUGCCAGUAUUCCUCUGAGCACCACUGCAAAAUCAUUUUUAUAGCCUGUCUGUUUGCUCAUGUCAGCUCUCAUUGUGAAUCCCUCCACUGGCUGCCUUUUCUCUGUUGUAUAAAGAUAUUGCUUGUCCCUGUGCUGUCAUUUUCUUUUUAACACUUAGAAGAUGAUUUCUGUCUCCCAUUUGCCCAUGGCUCUCAUCUCUGCUGCCCCCUUUGAAUCUCAGACAAGCCCAUUUUCUUUCAUACCAUAUUCUCCUCCAUGAUAACACCUGGAGUUUCAAACAGCAUGUCCCCAAACAGGUGUAGAAAAUGCCUUGUUUUUGUCCUUGAAAUCUUUCCUCUACACUUGCCUUGCAUGGGAGAGUUACAAAAGCCUUCAUACAGUUAGGCUGGCAAUAAGUUCUUCACGAUGACCCAGAAUCCCUCUCCAGCUUCCUUUCUUCCACAAGAAGUCACCGUCUUUUCAGCAGAUUGUGACACAAUAGGAUUUAACAACAAAAAAAAAGAAUUCAAGUAAGUUUCUUUAGAAGAAACCAAACCAACAAUCAAUCAAUCAAACAAAAAAAACUAAGCUCUAUGAAAACUGCAAACCACACACAGUUUUUUACAUGUAUAUUUGAACAGAGCCCAAAAAUUAGUUUAUAUUUGUAGGAAGGAUGUGACGGAACCUGAAACUGGGGUAACAGAGAUUAGCUACUGGGAUAGCAGUAAUGCAGAACAGUGUCCAAAACCACUUUCCCCCCCAGUCAUGUGCAGAGCCUGUGGCAGUGCAAGGCCCUGGAACCCUCUCACAGAUCCCCAGUUAGAGCCAAGCACUCAGGCAUUAAUCAUCUGCACACUUGCUGUCUUCAAGCUGAUACAAGCUAUUCACUUCUAAACUAAGAGCUCAGAAGCAAUGGCUUUUAAAACCAGGAAGCAAGAUAGUAAUUAAUAUGACCUGUCUAUCUCCCAGAUUAUUAAACUGCAUUAUGAAUGUUUUGUUGCUGAAGAUUAAUUAUGUAAAUCUUCACAGGAGUCUCACACAACUGAAGGAAAUAUUAAUGUUUGUUCAUCAGCUCUGAUUUUUAGCUCUCAGCUGAUUUCUAAAGGUUGUUGGAGUUCUAGUCUGCUAUCAACAUCACACAAUUACCAUUAGCAGUAGCCCCAGUGCUUUGUGCUGCAUGUAGUUAAUAGCUCUGUAUGCAUGUGGUUGACUAGAGCUUGUCACAGAGAUCCACACAAACACUGUCUGAACCUAUGGAAAUGGGAGGUCUGGAGCUGCAGCUCUGGCUGUGGUCACAUCCACUGCAACCUGCUCCUAAUUCCAUGACCAAGAGUUGCCAGGUGAUUCAUGGAAAAAAAUUGUUUAGUGAAAAAUAAAAGAAGAUGAAUUUUUAAGACCAUUGGAACAUUAAAUUUUUUUUUUAUUAUUACUUUUUCACUGUGUAAUACAGAUGUCAUUCUAAAAAGCAACUUUAAAGCCUUGCAUGGAUUCCUUGGAGGUUUUUAUGUGCUACUGGCAAGCAGAAUCAGCUGAGAUGUAUUGUUUCUGCUGAAAUUUUCAUGAAGUUAAAUUAAAUUACUUUCAGCAUGUCCAAAACUCAUAGGCUCAAUAGAAAAAUAUGUUUUGGCAAGAUGGUAUUUUGUCAAUAGCAAGGUGCUAUCAUGAACCUGUGUCUUGAGGACUUUGUGGGAAUGUGAUCAUGUGUUCAAGCUCCAGCUUUAGUUUUUGUUAUCAGCAUGUCCACUGCUCAAAGUCACAGGAUUUUGCCACCCAUGAACUCUCCUGGACAGAAAGGAAGCUGUAAUGCAGGUGGAACACCUCAUUACAAAAGCACAGUAAGAAAUGAAUUUUAAACAUGGAGCAACUCUGCAUUUUAAGUUUCAAGAAAGGUGAGCAUCCUUGGCCACGCAGUUUCAGAUUCAGGAUUUCUCUUUCGUACUUCAGGCCUCAUAGUCAUUUAACAGUUUAUCUUUGCUGCAGAAUGGAUAUUUUCUUUUAAAAAAUUAAUCACUUUUACUAGAGCUAACCAUGGGAAAAUUAUAUGGCAAACCUGUGUCUUGUUGAUCCCACAUAUCUCAGUACAUUGUUGACCCUGAAACAUAAAGGCAGAAAUAAAAGAUAUCAUUGAUUUUCAGUCCUUCCCUAAUGAUCAUGUUAGCAGAAAAAUUCAGCUACCUUAUUUGUUUUAUACAAUCUCCAAGCACCUCUGUGCCUCCUCAGGAGCCAAACCCAGCACUUAUUAACACUCUGUUCCCCCGGGCUCCUUGUGGAACACUUGGUUGCUGCUGCUAGUGGCUUUCACGCACAACUGCACAAAAUUAAAAAACAAGCGUGUUAAAAAAAAAAAAAGCAUGCAAAAUUAACAUGUGAACAAACAACAGGGGCUACACAAUUGAUUAUAUUUUCACUGUCAAGUUGUAUUAAUUAAAGGUUCCCAUCCCAUAAUUAAAAUGAAGCAGCCAGAGAAACUCCACCAUGUUUUGCAGGGUUGCUCUUAGGGGUUUACAAUUAUGCUGCCACGUAGUGCCCAGGGCUUUGAGUGAAGAGAUCAUUCUGAUCAAUGGCAUUCAGAGCCUGGAUCCCAGUUUUCAUGAAGUACAGGCUUGUGACCCAAGGUUUUGUUCUGGCCCCAUCUUUAAUUAGAACCUGCUUUGGCUUUCCCUAACUCAGCUGCAAUACUUGGCAUGGACCUCCUGCAUAUUUAGAUGACAACUAAUGAGGAUUUUUAUUAAACUUGAGCCUUGGCUGGGUAGGAAAAGGGAGCAGCUUUUUAGCAUCGGAUGGAAAAGACUUUUGCCUCUGGAAUAUUUCUCAGCACGGAGCAAAGAACUGGGGGAGGAGAUGGCAAUAGAAAUGCUGUCAGUGCUGCCACUAAUGGGGCCUGCCUGGGGCACACUGUUUGGUGUCCCUUGGAAGGUGACCUUGACUGCUAACAUUUACAUUUUAGCAGCCAUUUGGCAUAUUUGAUUGUGUCUACAGCAGAAAACGACACAAUUCUCUGAGAGGCAUGUAGCUCAGAUCAAUGACUUCAAUGCCACUGUCACCCUGUCCUACUAUUCUCUGAUCUUUGCCAGUUUGUCUGAAAGUGCAGGCCACAAGAGCACCACGGCACUGCCCCUUCUUAUGAAUGUGGGCAAUUGAUUCCCCACAUCAAGCACUGUCCAUACAGGCUGACUCAAGGUACAAUCUGCAAAUCAGCGCCCUCCUCAAAACAAUAAGUAAUUGAAGUGGGUAAGAAAAGCAUUUGUUGUCCUAUGAACCAAAGAGCUGGCCAUUAUUAUUUGCCUUUGGUGUGAUUUAUCAGGCUUGGACAUGUGGGACAGACUGUAGGUGUGUGCCAGAGGUAUUGCUGGGUCAGAUCCCAGAAAGCUUUGUGACUGCAGCUCCUGUCAUUUCCUUACCCCGCAGGAUCUAUCUUGCAGAAGGUGGAGAUUUGACAAUAACUCCGUCCUUUCUGCCACAUGUUUCAGAAGUUCAGCAGAUGGCUGUGUGCUCCUACCACCUGGCCAAAGGGUGCUGUCACCCUUCCAAACACAUGGCAUUAGCACCUCUGAGGGGCAGGCCUACCCACUGAUGCUGAUGUGCUUUAAUUCACAAUAUCAGGAUGGCGAAGAGCACACAUGGGGCUAGAUAGGAUGGCUUACCAGAUGGGUGGUAAUUUGUUAAGCCGCAAAAGCUUUCAAAUGAGUAAUCAUAAGCUAAGGUCUUCAGCCAACAUAAGAGUCAUCUGGUUUUUCUUUAAUAUAAUUGCAGAAAAAAAAAA